CCUACGGGAGGCUGCAGUGGGGAAUAUUGCACAAUGGGGGAAACCCUGAUGCAGCGACGCCGCGUGAGUGAAGAAGUAUUUCGGUAUGUAAAGCUCUAUCAGCAGGGAAGAAAAUGACGGUACCUGAUUAAGAAGCCCCGGCUAACUACGUGCCAGCAGCCGCGGUAAUACGUAGGGGGCAAGCGUUAUCCGGAUUUACUGGGUGUAAAGGGGGCGUAGACGGCAGCACAAGACUGGAGGGAAAUGCCGGGGCUUAACCCCGGGACUGCUUUGGAAACUGUGUGGCUAGAGUGCAGGAGAGGUAGGUGGAAUUCCUAGUGUAGCGGUGAAAUGCGUAGAUAUUAGGAGGAACACCAGUGGCGAAGGCGGCUUACUGGACUGUAACUGACGUUGAGGCUCGAAGGCGUGGGGAGCAAACAGGAUUAGAUACCCUUGUAGUC
This 440-nucleotide ribosomal RNA is filed under the name uncultured bacterium. RNAcentral describes it as "partial 16S ribosomal RNA". It matches the Rfam family "Bacterial small subunit ribosomal RNA", at positions 338 to 795 of the family's 1533-position model. The record is from RNAcentral.